CCUACGGGUGGCAGCAGUGAGGAAUAUUGGUCAAUGGGCGGGAGCCUGAACCAGCCAAGUCGCGUGAGGGAAGACGGUCCUAUGGAUUGUAAACCUCUUUAGGCGGGGAGCAAUGCCGGGCACGCGUGCCCGGAGGAAGAGUACCCGCAGACUAAGCAUCGGCUAACUCCGUGCCAGCAGCCGCGGUAAUACGGAGGAUGCGAGCGUUAUCCGGAUUUAUUGGGUUUAAAGGGUGCGUAGGCGGAUUUUUAAGUCAGCGGUAAAGUGUCCGGGCUCAACCCGGGCCGGCCGUUGAAACUGGGGAUCUUGAGUGGGCGAGAAGUAUGCGGAAUGCGUGGUGUAGCGGUGAAAUGCAUAGAUAUCACGCAGAACUCCGAUUGCGAAGGCAGCAUACCGGCGCCCGACUGACGCUGAGGCACGAAAGCGUGGGGAUCGAACAGGAUUAGAUACCCGGGUAGUC
Molecule: ribosomal RNA, 460 nt
Filed under: uncultured bacterium
Lineage: Bacteria
Description: partial 16S ribosomal RNA
Rfam family: Bacterial small subunit ribosomal RNA
Source: RNAcentral